CUCGCAGAUGACAGUUCGGGUUCAUUCUCUCCUGUUGCGUGGUCAAUGGGAGUCAUCUCAAGGGUUGUGCCUGGCGCUGGUCCCCUGUGACCAACUGGAGUAAAUCUGGCAUCUGCCAGUUCACUUUUGAUGAACUGCACAUCUCUUGACAUUUCCUUUACUACCACUACUACUUAAGCGAGCAUUGUGGUCAUCUUCUCGAUGGAAAGGUCUUAAAAAAAAGAAAAAAAAAGAA
Molecule: non-coding RNA, 235 nt
Organism: Epinephelus lanceolatus (giant grouper)
Lineage: Eukaryota; Metazoa; Chordata; Actinopteri; Perciformes; Serranidae
Source: RefSeq, a predicted model, not a curated record